UGGGGAAUAUUGCACAAUGGGCGCAAGCCUGAUGCAGCCAUGCCGCGUGUGUGAAGAAGGCCUUCGGGUUGUAAAGUACUUUCAGCGGGGAGGAAGGGAGUAAAGUUAAUACCUUUGCUCAUUGACGUUACCCGCAGAAGAAGCACCGGCUAACUCCGUGCCAGCAGCCGCGGUAAUACGGAGGGUGCAAGCGUUAAUCGGAAUUACUGGGCGUAAAGCGCACGCAGGCGGUUUGUUAAGUCAGAUGUGAAAUCCCCGGGCUCAACCUGGGAGCUGCAUCUGAUACUGGCAAGCUUGAGUCUCGUAGAGGGGGGUAGAAUUCCAGGUGUAGCGGUGAAAUGCGUAGAGAUCUGGAGGAAUACCGGUGGCGAAGGCGGCCCCCUGGACGAAGACUGACGCUCAGGUGCGAAAGCGUGGGGAGCAAACAGG
RNAcentral lists this ribosomal RNA (429 nucleotides) under Chloroflexota bacterium. RNAcentral describes it as "Chloroflexi bacterium partial 16S ribosomal RNA". It matches the Rfam family "Bacterial small subunit ribosomal RNA", at positions 355 to 776 of the family's 1533-position model. The record is from RNAcentral. Lineage: Bacteria; Bacillati; Chloroflexota.